Molecule: unclassified non-coding RNA, 685 nt
Filed under: uncultured Prochlorococcus sp.
Lineage: Bacteria; Bacillati; Cyanobacteriota; Cyanophyceae; Synechococcales; Prochlorococcaceae
Description: partial may contain 16S ribosomal RNA, 16S-23S ribosomal RNA intergenic spacer, and 23S ribosomal RNA
Rfam family: Bacterial small subunit ribosomal RNA (bases 1-98)
Source: RNAcentral
AACCCUUGUGGAGGAGGACGCCGAAGGUGGGGCUAAUGACUGGGGUGAAGUCGUAACAAGGUAGCCGUACCGGAAGGUGCGGCUGGAUCACCUCCUAACAGGGAGACAACAAAAUGUUUAAUAUUAUUAUUUUGUCACCUUAGGUCGAUCGGUAUCUCACGUUCUUAAUUUAUUAAGAAUUUCAUUUCCUAAGUUUUUCUAGGUCACACCCAUUAUUUUCCUGGGCCAUUAGCUCAGGUGGUUAGAGCGCACCCCUGAUAAGGGUGAGGUCCCUGGUUCAAGUCCAGGAUGGCCCAUAUCUCUAUGUUGGGGGUAUAGCUCAGUUGGUAGAGCGCCUGCUUUGCAAGCAGGAUGUCAGCGGUUCGAGUCCGCUUACCUCCACUGAUUACCACCUCUUCCAUAAUUUGUAGAAGGGAAUAUUUUGAGUUGUGAUCAAAUUCUGAACGAAUCUAGCUUCCUAAUGAAAUCAUUAAGAUGCUGGACUCAUUGAAUUAAUUUCUUUGUUUUCAGAGAACCUUGACAACUGCAUAGAUUAUUUUUAAAGACAAUAAGCAUCUUUAAUGAUGCAGAUUUAUUAUUUGUGCGAAUGCAUUAAUAACAAUUCUAUUAAGCUGAUGCUUCAAUUUUGAAGUUAUUGGUCAAGCUACAAAGGGCUCACGGAGGAUACCUAGGCACACAGAGGCGA